CCUACGGGUGGCAGCAGUGGGGAAUAUUGCACAAUGGGCGAAACCCUGACGCAGCGACGCCGCGUGAGUGAAGAAGUCUUUCGGUAUGUAAACCUCUUUUAGCAGGGAAGAAACUGACGGUACCUGUUUAAGAAGCCCCCGCUAACUACGUGCCAGCAGCCGCGGGAAUACGUAGGGGGCAAGCGUCAUUCGGAUUUACUGGGUGUAAAGGGAGCGUAGUAGGCAGCACAAGUCAGGAGUGAAAUGCCGGGGCUUAACCCCUGAACUGCUUUGGAAACUGUGCAGCUAGAGUGCAGGAGAGGUAAGUGGAAUUCCGGGUGUAGCGGUGAAAUGCGUAGAUAUUAGGAGGAACACCAGUGGCGAAGGCGGCUUACUGGACUGUAACUGACGUUGAGGCUCGAAAGCGUGGGGAGCAAACAGGAUUAGAUACCCGAGUAGUC
RNAcentral lists this ribosomal RNA (440 nucleotides) under uncultured bacterium. Its description in RNAcentral is "partial 16S ribosomal RNA". It matches the Rfam family "Bacterial small subunit ribosomal RNA", at positions 338 to 795 of the family's 1533-position model. The record is from RNAcentral.